This 440-nucleotide ribosomal RNA is filed under the name uncultured bacterium. Its description in RNAcentral is "partial 16S ribosomal RNA". It matches the Rfam family "Bacterial small subunit ribosomal RNA", at positions 338 to 795 of the family's 1533-position model. The record is from RNAcentral.
CCUACGGGGGGCAGCAGUGGGGAAUAUUGCACAAUGGGGGAAACCCUGAUGCAGCGACGCCGCGUGAGUGAAGAAGUAAUUCGUUAUGUAAAGCUCUAUCAGCAGGGAAGAAAAUGACGGUACCUGAGUAAGAAGCCCCGGCUAACUACGUGCCAGCAGCCGCGGUAAUACGUAGGGGGCAAGCGUUAUCCGGAUUUACUGGGUGGAAAGGGAGCGUAGACGGCAGUGCAGGUCUGGAGUGAAAGGCGGGGGCUCAACCCCCGGACUGCUCUGGAAACUGUACGGCUGGAGUGCAGGAGAGGUAAGUGGAAUUCCUAGUGUAGCGGUGAAAUGCGUAGAUAUUAGGAGGAACACCAGUGGCGAAGGCGGCUUACUGGACUGUAACUGACGUUGAGGCUCGAAAGCGUGGGGAGCAAACAGGAUUAGAUACCCUUGUAGUC